AUUGAACGCUGGCGGCAUGCCUAACACAUGCAAGUCGAGCGGAGCGGCGGACGGGUGAGUAAUGCCUAGGAAUCUGCCUGGUAGUGGGGGAUAACGUCCGGAAACGGGCGCUAAUAUCGCAUACUAUCAGAUGAGCCUAGGUCGGAUUAGCUAGUUGGUGGGGUAAAGGCCUACCAAGGCGACGAUCCGUAACUGGUCUGAGAGGAUGAUCAGUCACACUGGAACUGAGACACGGUCCAGACUCCUACGGGAGGCAGCAGUGGGGAAUAUUGGGCAAGGGGCGAAAGUCUGAUCCAGCAAUGCCGCGUGUGUGAAGAAGGUCUUCGGAUGGUAAAGCACUUUAAGUUGGGAGGCGGUACCAAAAGAAAAAGCAACGGCUAACUUCGUGCCAGCAGCCGCGGUAAUAC
This 407-nucleotide ribosomal RNA is filed under the name uncultured bacterium. RNAcentral's name for it is "partial 16S ribosomal RNA". It matches the Rfam family "Bacterial small subunit ribosomal RNA", at positions 30 to 526 of the family's 1533-position model. The record is from RNAcentral.